RNAcentral lists this ribosomal RNA (253 nucleotides) under uncultured bacterium. RNAcentral's name for it is "partial 16S ribosomal RNA". It matches the Rfam family "Bacterial small subunit ribosomal RNA", at positions 524 to 776 of the family's 1533-position model. The record is from RNAcentral.
UACGUAGGGUGCGAGCGUUAAUCGGAAUUACUGGGCGUAAAGCGUGCGCAGGCGGUUCUCCAAGUCCGUUGUGAAAGCCCCGGGCUCAACCUGGGAAUGGCAGUGGAAACUGGCGAACUGGAGUGUGGCAGAGGGGGGUGGAAUUCCGCGUGUAGCAGUGAAAUGCGUAGAGAUGCGGAGGAACACCGAUGGCGAAGGCAGCCCCCUGGGCUAGCACUGACGCUCAGGCACGAAAGCGUGGGGAGCAAACAGG